UACGUAGGGUGCGAGCGUUGUCCGGAAUUAUUGGGCGUAAAGAGCUCGUAGGCGGUCUGUCGCGUCGAUCGUGAAAACUUGGGCUAACCCUGAGCUUGCGGUCGAUACGGGCAUGACUGGAGUUCGGCAGGGGAGACUGGAAUUCCUGGUGUAGCGGUGAAAUGCGCAGAUAUCAGGAGGAACACCGGUGGCGAAGGCAGGUCUCUGGGCCAUAACUGACGCUGAGAAGCGAAAGCAUGGGGAGCGAACAGG
This 252-nucleotide ribosomal RNA is filed under the name uncultured bacterium. Its description in RNAcentral is "partial 16S ribosomal RNA". It matches the Rfam family "Bacterial small subunit ribosomal RNA", at positions 524 to 776 of the family's 1533-position model. The record is from RNAcentral.